Unclassified non-coding RNA from Acanthaster planci (crown-of-thorns starfish), 7315 nucleotides. NCBI's taxonomy places the organism in Eukaryota, Metazoa, Echinodermata, Asteroidea, Valvatida, Acanthasteridae. The record is from RefSeq and is a predicted model, not a curated record.
GCCCCGUCAUGAUGAGCCUUCCAACCUGGCUGCGCGCUGUCUUACAAUGCUUGGCAAACCUCGCACAAGACAAGAAGGUCAAUAUGGCUGGUAGACUUGGUGUCAUUAGUUUGGCGAGCUUUGCAGCUACAUCGUUACGAAUUUGUCGGCCUAUCCCUGCGGUACGCACAGCACGAAACGCUUUUGGUUCAACCAAGCCUCUGAAUGGUGCGUCGAGUCAAGGAGGUUCAUCAAUUGAGCUGAUGAAGUGCUUCUCAGUACAGUCAGAGCACGCAGUCUUUGCCCCUCCCAUAUCACUGGAGGACCAUGCCGGUACCCGGAAUCGAGCCAAGAUGACAAGUGAUGUUGGGAUGGAUGUGGAAAACAAGCAGCUCAUCGUUUCCUUGAAAGGAGGCCUGAGGCAGGCUUUCCCGUUUGUCUGGCUUCGAGACAAUUGUCAAUGCCCGGUUUGCUUCCAUCCCACAGCCAUGUCUCGGAAAACAUACGCCUACGAGCUCAAUGUUGAUAUCACUGCUAAAUCGGUUGAAAUGUCUCCCGACUCCAAUGGCGUCAUCAUCCACUGGGAAGACGGACACAAGAGCCACUUCACCUUUCAUUGGCUGAGGGCCUACUGCUUUAUCGACUCCAAGCAAGACCAAUAUCUGGAUCCCAAGUUCGACUUUUGGGGCGCUGAUAUCGACCUUCAGAGCUUCAACUUCGAUGAGGUACUUAAGAACGACGGAGCCUUGUACAACUGGCUGACUGAGCUGGUGAGUCGAGGCAUUGCGGUGGUGACGAACGCUCCGUCCAAGGUGGGUCAGCUUCACAGUCUUGGGGGACGAGUGGCCUUCCUGCGGCCCUCCAACUACGGACCAACCUUCCAAGUGAAGAGCAAAGUUGACCCGAAUCAUGUAGCUUACACAAGUGGUGCCUUGUCUUUACACACUGACAUGGCAUAUUACAUUCGACAACCAGGGAUUCAAAUGCUACACUGCAUAGAUCAAGCGGAGGGCACUGGCGGCGAGAAUCUCUUCUCUGACGGCUUCAAGGUUGCCAUGGAUCUGAAGGAAGAUGACCCAGAGGCCUUUCGACUUCUGUCCACCAUUCCGUUCGAAUUUUCUGACGUGGGCACAGAUUACUACGGCAGCUUCCACCAGUACUCUCGGCACCCGACUAUUAGACUGGACGAACGCGGGGAAGUCGUGUCGGUGACUUUGAGUGACCACAGCCGAGACCCAAUGCUGAGGGCUCCUCUCCACCAGGUCCAGCCGCUCUAUCGAGCUUUGAAUAAGUACUGCAACAUGCUUCUCGACCCGCAAAAUGUCUUCAAAUACAAAAUGGAAAAGGGAGAUAUCAUGACUUUCAACAACCGCCGUGCCCUGCACGGCCGAAGCUCUUUCAGAGUGACUCAGGCUGGUGGCCGCCAUCUUGAAGGGGGUUACCUCGAAUGGGAUGAGGUCAAUUCACGUCUACGUGUCCUGGCAGCACAGCUCAACUCAAAGUGAGACAAACGAGAAGCAGGGAGGUGAAAUGGAAAGGUUCAUGUACAUGCUUGUGUUUUACUCUGCCAAAGUGAAGACGAUGGAGAACGUACACGUCCACGUCCAGUCUUCGACUGGCUCGAAACUAAGAGUACUUAGACGCGAAGUACGUGAUUUAAAUGAAAGAGGAUACAAAUGAGUGAAUUUCGGACAGAUAAGUAACAUGUAAAUUAACCACGAUAUUAGUGACUAUAGCUUGAUACAAAGCAUAAGGGAGGUUACAGUUUUACGCUCAGAAAUUGGCGAUGGAUUCACGCCGUAACCAUUUUCUAAGGCGUUGAUAUAAGCAAGGGGCUUUAGUUAUGUUUGCUUCCAGUGCAUUUCUUACAAAAAAGUUAAUAGCGCCCUCCUUUGACCGGUAAUCUGAGAACCAUGCUUUACACUCAUCCGUAGACAGUGGAUUUCUCACAGUGAAUUGGUGCAUCGUUUUCCCACAUUUUCAGGGCACAAAUUUUCCUCUCGCUCCUUGCUAACUGUAUAUAGCGCCUAGUGAAGCAUUGCCUGUAAGUUGAUUCCGGUUUUAUUCCUUAUCAAGAGGUAUUUCAAGUAGUUUAGAGGCCUUUAUGACAAUCGGUUUUCAUGUCAAGUUGUUUACACAUGUAUAUACCCACAUGUUGACAUGUAUAAGGAGGCAACAACAUAUAACACACCGAGCGAUCAACGUGGUCAUGGGGAUGCGUGUGGAUAUUUUCUGCACCGUGACUAACAGGCCUGUUAAAUCGACAUAUUUCGGGCUUUGUGAGCUCAGUAUUUAUGUGCACAUGUACUCGUUCGACUAGUUAUUAGCAUGAAUCUCAGUGUAUUUUGAAACAAGAGACUCAUACAUGUGUAGUGUUUGUGUAGUAAUAGUGUAGUAUACGUAUCCAUAGCUUGUGUUUUCUCGUUAACUACGCAGUUUUACUCCAUGUCAAUGACAUCAUCAUCCAAUGUGACCAAAUAUUAAAACACCGGAGCUACAUGCGAAGUUAUUUCCUGACUCCCAUUUCGUCAGUGAUAGGAGUUUGGCUGGCUGCCAACUUGAGAUUAGAAACAUCUUAAGGAGGGCAGUACAGUUGUCAUUUAGAUAACGUCUGUUACACUUUCUUUGGACCACAUCUAGCAAAACGUGACCACAGCUACCUCCAGGACCUGCAGGAAAUACCGUUGUGAAACCCAUUGGUACACUUUAAUGCCGGCCGUGUCGCUAAUAUUCUCGAUUUCCAACCGGGCACUGCGGCACUGCACGCGCUGGGAUUUUAUUGCUACGAUGUUCUGUGACUGCAGCAUAUUGAGAACGCGAAUUCGCUCUGCAAGAAGAAGCUGCGCUCUCAGGGGGCUCCAAGCUACUCUGUGAGACGUGCCAUGAGGACAACGAGGCUUCACAUCACUGCAUCGACUGCGGAAAGGAUGUCUGUGCAUAUUGCCGCAAAACGCACUUAGGGUAUCCAGUCUCCUCCAGUCAUACGGUGGUAACUCUAGACAAGAUUCGCCGAGGUAAAGACGUGCACAACCUCAAAUCUCAUCUGAUGAUCUCCGAGAUGCAGCAGAAGUUAAGAAGGCACUCAGCAGCAACACAGCAAAGGCUCAGAAGAGGGUACAGGGCAUGGUUACCAGGUCAAAGUUGAAGAGAAUCAAAUGCCUGAUGAGACUGCAAAUCGAACGAAUGGAUGAGUAUGAGAAGACACUGACUGAACUACUGCAGAGAAAGAAACACUCGCUUAAGUCGGUUCCUGAAGUCAACAAGAAUUCACCAGACGGUGAUUUCCACUCACCAAUGAGCCAGGGAAUGGACAAUCUAACCGGUCAGCGAACUCCCAAGAUUAGGGCUCUGCAGUUGCAUCCCAUGUUUGUACAGAGGCAGAAGCUUGGCGUUGACCUUAGCAACGUGGUUCUGAAAGACACCUGGGAGUUGUGUUGAGCGUUUGACCGGCAAGGAAGCUGUGUACAGGAGUUUGAAUCAGCCAAAGGUAUCGCCUCUGCUGCUGCUGCUGCUGUACCCGACGAGAUUGCUGUGGCUGACUGGAAGAACAAACGAGUAGUCAUAUGCACCAGUCAGGGGUAUACUAAUCGCACCAUUCCAGUUAUGGCAAGUCACCAUUCCAGUUAUGGCAAGUGGGUCUUUCAAUGAUUACUUUUGAUAAGUUUGUUGAUGCUGACAGAACAGACAGAGCAAAAUAAAUGAACAUUUGCAAUAGCUUGGAAAACAAUGUGGAAAAAAAAUUAAACCAAGUUAAACUCCGGAGUAGUAAAACUGUAAGGACCGCCAGCAUACCUUCAAGCCAUUAAACACUAAAAAAGAGUUGUUUAAAGAGGCAUAUUUUUAUACUCCCAUUUUAAAAACAGUGAAAAAUGAAAUAUGCCUCUUUUGCUUUCUACGUAACCAAUAAAAGGCAACAACAUAAUGCGGUAAAGCCCUUAAAUGAUUCUUUGGAGGCAACUUUUAUAUUGAACUCAUGCAUUAAUAACAGUUAAUUUGCAGACAUCAAUUGGUUAUGAUGCCCGUUUGUUCGUAAGAGUAAGUAAAUGUAAGUGUUGUUUUAUUAUUAUUAUUAUUCAUUUUUGGUGAGUGCAUAAUUGUUGAAGGGUAUAAUGGAUUUUUUGUUUAACCCUUCAUGAGCCCGGGACGGAAUCCGUCACUCACCCCCUCAAUUUUUUUUUCCGAUACUGCCGCAAUGCAUUUUUUUUUCAGAAGCUGAGCCCUUUAAGUGGUUGUUAGAGUUACUUUUUGAAUUUUCACACCAGUUUGUUGAAAAUCCGACACACCUUUUUUUUACGCAGGGUGUUUUUUUUUUAGACAUGUCAGCCAACGAUAUAUACUUUUUUCCACUGCAGUGCUCAAUGUACGCGCCGGCACGCACGCGUUUAGCCUUGAACUUCAGAUGACUGUAACAACGAAUUGCUAUGUUUGAUAGAGUUCAAACGUACCAUAAAUAAUUAUAAGGAGUGUCCUGAUCUGCUUGACAAGUUUCAUAAACACUAAGAAAGGCACAGCCGAGUUCUUAAGGGGUAAAAUGGGGGGUGCGUGUUUUCCCUGGGCUUUGGAAUGUGUCAAAGUUAACUCUUCUCUUUUAGGGUUAAACUUAGCCUUGAUCAAGGCGCUGUGCGAUGAGUUUGACAACCCUGGCUGUCAGGCCUCCUGUACCUGCGUUGCAGUAGACUUAAAGUCAAGUUGUUGGUCGGUUGUGUUUUUCGUCCAUGCACUGCGUCAUUUCAAAAUUAGUGCGAAGCCCGUUCACUGUUGCCCGCGAUCCAUCCAGCAUGCCACCCGAUCCUGCCCUUGCUCGGGGGCUGUUCAGUACUGGGUUUGGGCACACGUCGGCCCACGACCCAGAUGCCAGCGUAAUGAUUUGAUCAACCUCACGCUGGAUAAAUAUUCAUGAGUGCGACAAUUGAACUGCAUGAUUCAUAUAUUUCCAUGUAAAGCGCCAAUAGUCCCUCAAACUACAGAACAAGUCAUCCAUUUAUUUAUAGGGAUGUGUACAAUUGAUUAGUGCCAGUUUCUUUCAUAUCUUGCAUCCUUUUAUUACGACGCUUAGAGACAAUUAUACAGAAUUAUUCACGAAUAAAUCUGUUAACUAUCUUUUCUGGUAAGAGAAUCAAUGCUUUAUGGAAAAUCAUCUUUUUUGAUAAUUUAAACACCAUCUUCAUUGAACGAGACUGUUGUUGUUGUUAAUAAGCGUUUAACUGACCAAUCAAACUGCCCCUGAAAUAAAUAUUCUUGUUAUCGGGAUUCUUAACCAAUCAUAGUGCUCUGUCCAAUUUUGGUAAUAAGCCCAUAUGCUGCGCACAAAAGGGCUUGUAUAUUCUUCAGGACGGUAUUUGAGUACCGUGGGACACACAUUGGGGAGCGAGGUUCCACUGACCGUUCCCGUGUAUUAUGAAAUUAAGCCCUUUUCAGACGACGCUGAGAAAAACUCGCAGGGCUUGAGAUAAAAUAUCCAAGGGAGGAUUAUUUACUUUGCGGUUUUACGCUGAAGGCUUGUCUGUCCUUUCACACAACACAGUGUAACAUUUCGCUGGCAUCCCUUGAGAUGCGAACUCUUUCUCCAAGGGUUGCUGGUAGACGGUACAUUGAUGACUAAAAAGUCACGAGUACCAAUGCAAUACGGAGGUCAAGGGUCAAUUUUUGACAGUCGAGAAAAGUGCCGGAGGUAUCACACGCGACUGACGUGGCUGUUGCCAAAAAACGUUCAAAUAAAAAGUGAUAAAAGUGAUGGCGCUGAAAACCCAAAGAAAAAAAGGCUGAAAAGGAGGCAUGGGAAUAUGAGGAAAACAUUCAAUUAAAAACAGCGAUGGAAAAUGCUGUGAUCAGGUCUAAAGUGGAUGGAAUGAUCCAUAAUAGCCACGGGUGGCGAGACAUUGCCGAAAAGAUAUCCGGCUGCACUAGCCAACAGUGCCAUGACCGGUGGGCACAUAUGAAGCGCCGGUACAGAGAAACUAAGAAGAAAAGUAACACAUCGCUUGGAACGUGGAUUACACCCAGCCAAUUACCGACUUGAUUUCAAGUCUAAUGUGGCGGAAACACUGCAUGAUUUAUAUAACGGGUCUUUUGCCCUUAUCCAACGUAUAUUAAUAAGCACUGUAUGCUCAAUGCUUGUCCGAGAGCUUACGAAAAAACUUCACAAGCAUACUCGGGUGGGACUCGAACCCACGACCUUCUGGUUACUAGUGCAAAAUAUCUUAACCACUCGACCACCGAGCUCGCUGGGGUCGGCUGGCCGGUACGAGUCAAGUAGUAAGCAGGAACGUUUUUAUCAGAUCAUGUGAUUUUUCCAGUCAACUGGUUUAAUCCCAUUCUGCCAUUCCGAUCACGUCUCAAAUACAUUUCAGGUCAGAACUACAAAAGGGGAUUCACUCCCAGAAAAGCAGUCGAUUUUGUGUAACACGCAGGAUCUGUUUUAAUCAAUCACACAUGAAGGCCACAAGAACCAUUCGGUUGGGAUGUUUGGUUAUUGAGUUUGUUGACGGUGCUCUUGAGCGAUUGGCCUGUGUUGUUGCUCGUGUUUCUAAACAUAGAUCUCAUUGCAACAAACUGGUGACUGUUUCUCUCGAGAAAACGAACUUUGGACAGAAAUAAACCUCGUACAAUCGAAUUAGGAAAAGAUAUAUCCCCUAAACCGGACUUAUAAACCGGAAAAAAUAUUAUGAAUGGCACUUGAUGACACUACAGGGUUUCGAGCAAACUGAACACAACAUAUAACUGACAAAAAAAUUACAUAGGCUCAGUGCCUAAAAUUGCACUGUAAACGUGCUGGAUAAGAUGUAGGGGGUCAAAUUCCUCCCCUGCCUCCUUUGGGUUAACGUGUUACAAACAACAAAAGUGGUCAGUUUAAUCACCAAAGCGUCAUUUUAUGACAUUCCAACUACGACAGACCUUGUGGGAUUCUAGGUUUACAACCUAGGUAGGCUUACAAAUACAGCCCUGGAUCUUGUCAACGGUGGAUCUCGAGCUGGACCAAGAGAGGGCGCUAUUUCCUUAGUAACAUAGGCGCCUUUAGUUGUACUAGGCACAAAAAGGGACAAACGAAUCUCCCAGGCACCUCGUGUAGCAGUGCUACAUGGUACAGUACAAGCCUAUGAGAUUUCAGGUACCUUCAUAGGCUUGGACUUAGAUAGGCAGUAUGGUUAUAAUAGUAACCAGGAACUAGACCAAACCCUUGCCGCCCACUGGACGCACGUUCAAACACAAAUGGAAGCAGAUACGUCUGGGUGGCAAUUUGUAACAAAAAGAACUACACCAUUGACUUGUGCACAAACCCACUGGUACACUGUGCUACAAACUGGGAAUGGAAAAGUCAAGGGUGGAAAUCUGUAGC